CAGCUGAUCACACAAGAGGGGUUCUUUCUGGAAAUGCUUUCACAAACGUGCAUGUUCCUCCCAACCAAAGAAAGGCAUGUGCAAUACGGAGCCUUCCUGAAAGCAGGUAAAAUAACCCCAUUCUUUUUUCAGCAAUCUGAAAACAAUGGGAAAGGUGUGCUUUGGUUCUAGAGGGGCCUUGUAGUCUAUUUUAGUCUAGAUAUGUUUUGUUUAUAAAUUCCCAAGGAAUUGUCAACACUUUGGUGACACCUAAUGGAUUCUUUUUGAAAUUCCAAGGUGCUUCAUUUCUUUGCCUCUUACGUGAAUUGUGCCUUUUAUCGCAUUUCUGUUCCCCUCUUGGUGUGGCACUUCUGACUUUUCAGAGAACACCCAUCUUGUUGGAGGCAGGUGUAAGUGGCGGUCAUGCUGUGCCACACAUGUUACUGCGACAAUCGUAUCUUCCUAAGCUUUUUAAGGAGAGUUGGGGGGUGGGGUGGGGAAGUAGAACUAGCUAUAAAAUAUGUAUGGCACAACUUGUUUAAUUUUGCAUGUAACUUCUUUUUAGUGCCUCGAUGAGGUUUUAGUGACAUUGUCAUCUAAUACUUUACCUUUUUUGUUCAGGGAAUGCCUUCGUGAUUUUUAUACUGGUUUUACUAUUCAAGACUGUGGCUUGGGUUUGAGCGUACUGUUAUCAACCACCUGGUCUUCUAUUCGCCCAUCCAGUAAGCUUAUAUUUUGUGAAGCUUUUGUUUCUCCGAUUAAGACACUGUUAGAACCUAAAGUAGUAGCUGAUGGCUAUCUGUGAAGGAAAAAAAAAAAAAUUUUUUUUUUUUUUUUUUUUUUUUUUUACUUGAACUAGAUUGUCUAAAAUAGGCAUCCUCAUCCGCAGUACCCGGAACCUCGCUCACUGUCGUGUGCACUACAAUUUGCAAUUUGGAAAAGUUGCUGUAUUGAAAUUCUGUCAGUACGCAGUUGUUUGAAUACUGAUAUUCUCUCCCAAACACUGGUUACCGCAGCAGCGUUUUUCAUGGGCGAAAGAAGAAAGGCCACUAAGGCCAAAGAUUUUUAAAAAUCAUUGUACAAAUUCUUACGUUAAAUUAAACUAAGCUUUGCUGUAAUACUGUUUUCUCUUCAGUAUGUGAUGGUACAGGAAUGUUGUUAAAUGAAGGGCGUAGUGUUGCAGGGGAGCAUUUUAAAUCGCAGAAGUAAAAAGUUAUAAUAUUUAUAAUUUUGAUGAGUUUAUUUUUAUAGGGAAGAUUUUUCUUCCCUACAGUUGUUUCUGGAAUGGCAAAUUGUUUCCAUUAUUAAAAGUCGAAGUUGUUG
RNAcentral lists this long non-coding RNA (1302 nucleotides) under Lynx pardinus (Iberian lynx). The record is from RNAcentral. Lineage: Eukaryota; Metazoa; Chordata; Mammalia; Carnivora; Felidae.